GGUGCUGCUUGUGGCUCGUUUGGUGCGGACCUGGUACCUCUUUAGUGAAGCAGCAGCUGAGGAGACUCCGGCGCUGGCCAUGGCCGACGAAAAGCCCAAGGAAGGAGUCAAGACUGAGAACAAUGAUCAUAUUAAUUUGAAGGUGGCGGGGCAGGAUGCUUCUGUGGUGCAGUUUAAGACUAAGAGGCACACACCACUUAGAAAACUAAUGAGACCCUAUUGUGAACGACAGGGAUUGUCAGAGAGGCAGAUCAGAUUCCGAUUCGACGGGCAACCAAUCAAUGGAACAGACACACCUGCACAGUUGGAAAUGGCGGAUGAUGAUACAAUUGAUAUGUUCCAACAGCAGGCGGGAGGUGCCUACUGAAAAGGGAAACUGCUUCUUUACUCCAGAACUCUGUUCUUUAAAGACCAAGAUUACAUUCUCAAUUAGAAAACUGUAAUUUGGUUCCACCACAUCCUGACUACCAUCUUACAGUUUUCUCUAUUCUUUCAUUUCCCCCUUCCCCAUUCCUUUAUUAUACAUAAAGUAACAGGUAUAUGUAUGUGCACAAGCAUAUUGUGUUUUUUUUUAACUAAACAGCCAAUGGUAUGUUUUAAUUGACAUCAGGUGGAGACAGGAUGGAGGAAAACACUGAUUCUGUGAAAAUAUCCCCUUU
Mandrillus leucophaeus (drill) is the source of this 659-nucleotide RNA transcript. It is a transcript of the gene named small ubiquitin-related modifier 2 pseudogene, with no coding region annotated. Lineage: Eukaryota; Metazoa; Chordata; Mammalia; Primates; Cercopithecidae. The record is from RefSeq and is a predicted model, not a curated record. The transcript has a single exon.